This 580-nucleotide ribosomal RNA is filed under the name Leuconostoc citreum. RNAcentral's name for it is "bacterial SSU rRNA". It matches the Rfam family "Bacterial small subunit ribosomal RNA", at positions 49 to 611 of the family's 1533-position model. Lineage: Bacteria; Bacillati; Bacillota; Bacilli; Lactobacillales; Lactobacillaceae. The record is from RNAcentral.
CUAUACAUGCAAGUCGAACGCGCAGCGAGAGGUGCUUGCACCUUUCAAGCGAGUGGCGAACGGGUGAGUAACACGUGGAUAACCUGCCUCAAGGCUGGGGAUAACAUUUGGAAACAGAUGCUAAUACCGAAUAAAACUUAGUAUCGCAUGAUAUCAAGUUAAAAGGCGCUACGGCGUCACCUAGAGAUGGAUCCGCGGUGCAUUAGUUAGUUGGUGGGGUAAAGGCUUACCAAGACAAUGAUGCAUAGCCGAGUUGAGAGACUGAUCGGCCACAUUGGGACUGAGACACGGCCCAAACUCCUACGGGAGGCUGCAGUAGGGAAUCUUCCACAAUGGGCGCAAGCCUGAUGGAGCAACGCCGCGUGUGUGAUGAAGGCUUUCGGGUCGUAAAGCACUGUUGUAUGGGAAGAAAUGCUAAAAUAGGGAAUGAUUUUAGUUUGACGGUACCAUACCAGAAAGGGACGGCUAAAUACGUGCCAGCAGCCGCGGUAAUACGUAUGUCCCGAGCGUUAUCCGGAUUUAUUGGGCGUAAAGCGAGCGCAGACGGUUGAUUAAGUCUGAUGUGAAAGCCCGGAGCUCA